AGAGAAAGCCAGCUCCCUGAACCUAGGCCACCCAUCGCCACCCUGCCUGUCAUCUCUCUCUAGCCCCCCACCUCCCCAGGAGUCCCUAGCGGCCCACGCUGAUGUUGCAGGUUUUGCAGCUGGGGUCUUUCUUGGCGUCAGCAGUGGACAGGCUCAUGAGCUGGUGCCCGCUGAUCUCCCCCAAGGUGCCCAGGGACAGGUCGACGGGCUCGGUAUAGAUGAUCUCCAGGAUGAGGUCCUGGGCAUGGCGGAAGAUCAGCUCCCCAUCCUCCACGCUGCAGGUCAGGAACUUGUUGCAGGCAAUGUCCAGGAGGGGCAGGCGGUCACGGCAGAAGCGGUCCCCCAGGGAGCCCUUGGGGGCCAGCACCAGGAUGGCGUAGUGCUGAAGAAGACGCCGUGGAGCAUGCCACUGGUUGGAGAGCCAUGGCUGCCGCUGUUGUCCUUCAGGCUCUCCAUCUGUAGGCUGAGUGGGUUGGACCAGAUCAUCAAUUGGAUUGAAUAUUUCUGGACUACAGAGCCCCUCUCUUUCUUCCCCGAAGGAAAUUAUACAUAGGCGGUCCAUAGGCAAUAAAAUUGAAGAUGCUCCAGCUGAAUGAUAGGUGUGGGGCCCACCAAGACUCAGCCUGAUUUCUUCAACAACCCGUCAGUACCCCCUCUCCCCCCACCCCAAAGUGCCCUGAGAUAGCUUCCUGGAGCCUCCAGGCUAUCCAGCACACAGUUGGAAAACAAUGACCCUUCAUGCAUGGAAACCUGUCGCUCUGUGCUACCCUCACCACCUCCCCCAGGGACCCAGGGCUUGAACUGGAGAGAUGGCUGACCCUUGGCAUUAGAACCCAGUGAAAGGAACUGUCCCAAAGGAGGAACAAACCCGAGAUCUCGUUCACCCAGGCCAGUUAGCAUGGUUCCCCCAGGCAGCCCCAUCCCAAGGAGAGUCCUCUCCUUCCUUGGAGCCCAAUCCCAAACAGCCAGCCACCCCCCCCCCCCCCCCCCCGCCCCAGAGCCAGCCUGUGAUAAGAUGCCAUGGGGACUCUGGUCUGGCAAUGAAAAGGUGGGGGUGAUGUCAGACAGCCAGGGCUGUGUGGGCAAAGCAGAGCCAGGGGAGGAAGGAGAGACCCAGGCCCUGCUAGGGGCCAUGCUGUACCUGGCAUGCUGGAAGUACUCCUUGUGGUGGUUGCGGUAGAAGACAGAGAAGCGGAGCAUGCGGCCUGCGAUCUGUUCAGCCUUCUCCUGCAGCUGGGCCAGGUGUUCCUUGGCAUAGUCUGCAAGAGUCCAGGCUGGUAAGCCCAGGGCCAGACUGAGCAUCACAGCCUCCCACACUCACCCACUGUGCACAUUGAACACCAGCCCACAACUGUCCUCAGAGCAACAGGGGAUACCAAAGAGUUACAGCACCUUGGACCACAUAGGAACAGGCCAGGUGGCCCAGCUGGGAACAUGGACAGCUGGGUGCACCUCUGCACCCUCGCUGCCAGAGGCUCUGAGUCAGAAAGGGGCAGGGGCUGCCCAGUUAGACAAUCACGCUGGGGACCCCAGGAGCUGUAAUCACUAGCUAUCCUCAUGUGAAGAGGACCAGCAAGCAAAGGAAGGAUUGAGAGGGGAGAAUUUGAGGUCCUCUAGGGAGAACUCAAACCCAGCAGGCAAAAGGCUGUGGAAGCCAGUGGUAAUUACAGGUGGGGGCUCAUGAGGAGAUCACAGAGCACUGAAGUGAAUGGUUAGCCAGACCAGGGUCUGAGGCAGUGAGUGCAUCUGCACCCCAGGAGAAGCAGGGAAGGCUGGAAACAGGAUGGUAAGAUUGGACACCUCCCAGGGCCAGGAUCAGAGUCUGGGGCCCUGGGGCCCAGGCAGGGCGGCUGCUAGCCAAGACAGAGCCUUUGUACAAAUUAGAAAAAGGUGCCCUUUCCUCCUUGCUGAUGUAGCCCUGGCCAGGGUGCUGGGUUUGGCAAGAGUAGUGUGGACUGGACUGCAGCCAUCCCCAACUCCCCAGUUUGAAUUAAACUUCCACCACGUGUGGAGUUCUGGGGUAAACCCAGAGGCUUUCCCCACAAGGAGUGGGAGCACCUCCAGAGAGUGGGGUUUUGCAGCCAAGCUAAGAAAAAGCACCACUCAAAAGAGAAUGGCAUGUCAAGGAGACUUGGGGCAUAGGCCUUGGCAGAGGAUGGAACCAGCAGCUUCAGAGGCCCGGGGCUAAGAAUGUUCCCUGCCCCUUCCUUGUGACAGAGAGAGAUCUGGAGCAAUUCUCACUGUGGACACCAAAGGAAUGGAAUAUUGUGGGGCAGAUCGUGGGUCAUCCACGACCAAGUACACAUAAGCCUGGUGUUUGUUCAUGCUGGAAUUUGCCAACUGAAUUCUGCUAAGAGGUUUGCAGGACCACCGAACAGGGGUCAUUUUCCAGGCUAAGUGGAGCCUCAAGACAAGCAAAUGUGAUGACCUACUGAGUAUCCAUCUACCGACGAUGGAUGAACAAUGUGUAGUCCGCACAUACAAUUGUUCAGCCUUGUAGAGGAAGGACGUUUUGACAUAUGCUCAACGUGGAUGAAUCUUGGGGACAUUAUGCUGAGCAAAAUAAGCCAGUUGCAGAAGGACAAAUACUGUGAUUCCCCUCACGUGAAGUACCAACAGUAGUCAAAUGUACAGACCCAGAAAGUGGAAUGGUGGUUGCCAGGGACUGGAGAGAGGAGGGAAGGGAGAGCUGCUGUUUAAUGGGGUUAGAGUUUCAGUUUGGGAAGUUGAAAUAGUUCUGGAGGUCAGUGGCACACCAGUGUGAACGUACUUAAUACUACUGAGCUAUACAUUUAACAAUGGUUAAAAUGGGAAAUUUUGUGUUGGUGUGCAUUUUACUACAGUUCAGAAAAACAUGCUUGCCCCAAGCCAGAAAAGUAAUUCCAUGCCUGUACGGGAAUGGUAUUGUCAACAUGUUUAGCAGGGCUCACGUCUGCCUCCUGUGUCAGACUGCAGGUUUGUUGCGGGCAGGGGCGAGGCUCAUCCAUGAGUAUCUCCCUGACAGCCUGAGCAUAGAGCCUGUAUACAGCAGGUGUUCCUAAGUGUGUGCUGGGGUAAGAUCACAACUAAGCCAGAUGUGCUAAAGCAGCAGGACAGCAGGGCCUCACCCCCAGUGCAGAACUCGACUGUCUCACUCCAGCCCGACACCAGGUACUCUCCAUCACUCUGCUUUACGGCGGUCUGCACGGCC
Molecule: long non-coding RNA, 3190 nt
Organism: Prionailurus viverrinus (fishing cat)
Lineage: Eukaryota; Metazoa; Chordata; Mammalia; Carnivora; Felidae
Exons: 3
Source: RefSeq, a predicted model, not a curated record